GCGGCCUUCUGGACAAUACUGACGCUGAGAUGCGAAAGCGUGGGGAGCAAACAGGAUUAGAUACCUGGUAGUCCACGCUGUAAACGAUGUCGAUUUGGAGUUUGGGGGCAUGACCCUUGGGCUCCGGAGCUAACGCGUUAAAUCGACCGCCUGGGGAGUACGGCCGCAAGGUUAAAACUCAAAUGAAUUGACGGGGGCCCGCACAAGCGGUGGAGCAUGUGGUUUAAUUCGAUGCAACGCGAAGAACCUUACCUGGUCUUGACAUCCAUAGAAUCUUUCAGAGAUGAGAGAGUGCCUUCGGGAGCUAUGAGACAGGUGCUGCAUGGCUGUCGUCAGCUCGUGUUGUGAAAUGUUGGGUUAAGUCCCGCAACGAGCGCAACCCCUAUCCUUUGUUGCCAGCACGUAAUGGUGGGAACUCAAAGGAGACUGCCGUUGAUAAAGCGGAGGAAGGUGGGGACGACGUCAAGUCAUCAUGGCCCUUACGACCAGGGCUACACACGUGCUACAAUGGCGUAUACAAGGGGAUGCGAAGGUGCGAACUGGAGCGGACCUCACAAAGUACGUCUAAGUCCGGAUUGGAGUCUGCAACUCGACUCCAUGAAGUCGGAAUCGCUAGUAAUCGUGAAUCAGAAUGUCACGGUGAAUACGUUCCCGGGCCUUGUACACACCGCCCGUCACACCAUGGGAGUGGGUUGCACCAGAAGUAGAUAGCUUAACCUUCGGGAGGGCGUUUACCACGGUGUGGUUCAUGACUGGGGUGAAGUCGUAACAAGGUAACCA
Molecule: ribosomal RNA, 780 nt
Filed under: uncultured Enterobacteriaceae bacterium
Lineage: Bacteria; Pseudomonadati; Pseudomonadota; Gammaproteobacteria; Enterobacterales; Enterobacteriaceae
Description: bacterial SSU rRNA
Rfam family: Bacterial small subunit ribosomal RNA
Source: RNAcentral